UACGUAGGUGGCAAGCGUUGUCCGGAUUUACUGGGCGUAAAGGGCGUGCAGGCGGUCUGUUAAGUCUAGGGUGAAAGCUCCCGGCUCAACUGGGAGAGGUCCUUGGAUACUGGCGGACUUGAGGGAGGUAGAGGGUAGUGGAAUUCCCGGUGUAGCAGUGAAAUGCGUAGAGAUCGGGAGGAACAUCUGUGGCGAAGGCGACUGCCUGGACCAGCACUGACACUGAGGCACGAAAGCGUGGGGAGCAAACAGG
This 253-nucleotide ribosomal RNA is filed under the name uncultured bacterium. RNAcentral describes it as "partial 16S ribosomal RNA". It matches the Rfam family "Bacterial small subunit ribosomal RNA", at positions 524 to 776 of the family's 1533-position model. The record is from RNAcentral.